Molecule: non-coding RNA, 593 nt
Organism: Paramuricea clavata
Lineage: Eukaryota; Metazoa; Cnidaria; Anthozoa; Malacalcyonacea; Plexauridae
Source: the annotation of a GenBank genome assembly
UCUGCAGUUAAGUCGACAUUCACAAUGCCCAAAUCAUUUGUCUCUUUUGAAACACUGAAAUCUUUAACAUGUUUUCUAAACAAACAAACAAAAUUAAACAUUCUGCCUAACGAUUACAAAAAAUUCUUUGUGCUUUUAAACUCUUUUAACACAUUCAGCUACAAUUCGCCCUGAUGCACCAUAUACAUUGUUAUUUUAUCCUCUGACACCGGACAAUUUUACUCGUCAAGGGAGAGUGCUGCGACUCAAUGGGUUAAUGAAACAAACUGAGAAUGUACCUUGUUAAGUGUUAACCUAUUAAGCUGCAUUAUGCCCUGACGCGCCCUACUUCGUUAUGUCAUCUUGUUUAACGCCAGACAAGUGCUGCAGCUCAAUGGAUUAAUUAACAAUCUGGCCUAAAGAGUCUCAGUAUUAUGGGGGAGAAUGCCUACCAUUAGAUUAUACCUUGACGAGCACCCAAUUAGCCUUUCUCACGCCCCAAUUUUUGGGUGGCUUUUCAGCCGAAGUCUGCGAGAUAAGUCCACAUAACAGCGACUUUUUAUCAUUUUUGGACGAAUGAUGGUAAAUUUGCUUUGUAAAUGGUUAGUUUAUUU